This 255-nucleotide ribosomal RNA is filed under the name uncultured bacterium. RNAcentral describes it as "partial 16S ribosomal RNA". It matches the Rfam family "Bacterial small subunit ribosomal RNA", at positions 524 to 777 of the family's 1533-position model. The record is from RNAcentral.
UACAGAGGGUGCAAGCGUUAAUCGGAAUUACUGGGCGUAAAGCGUGCGCAGACGGUUGCGUAAGUCAGAUGUGAAAAGCCCCGGGCUCAACCUGGGAAUUGCCUUCGAUACUGCGGGUCUCGAGUCCGGGAGAGGUGAGUGGAAUUCCUAGUGUAGAGGUGAAAUUCGUAGAUAUUAGGAAGAACACCAGUGGCGAAGGCGGCUCACUGGCCCGGUACUGACGCUGAGGCGCGAAAGCGUGGGGAGCAAACAGGG